AAGCUCGUAGUUGAAUUUCGGGAUCAAUGAGUUGGUCGUGCCCUUGGUAUGAACUGGCUUUAUUGGUUCUCACCUUCUAAUGAACCAUAAUGUCAUUCAUUUGAUGUUUUGGGGAAUUAGGACUGUUACCUUGAAAAAAUUAGAGUGUUUAAAGCAGGCUCACGCUUGAAUACAUUAGCAUGGAAUAAUGAAAUAGGACAUCGCAUUCUAUUUUGUUGGUUUCUAGGAUCGAUGUAAUGAUUAAUAGGGAUAGUUGGGGGCACUAGUAUUCAAUUGUCAGAGGUGAAAUUCUUGGAUUUAUUGAAGACUAACUACUGCGAAAGCAUUUGCCAAGGAUGUUUUCAUUAAUCAAGAACGAAAGUUAGGGGAUCGAAGACGAUCAGAUACCGUCGUAGUCUUAACCAUAAACUAUGCCGACUAGGGAUCGGAUGAUGUUAAUUUUUUAAUGACUCAUUCGGCGCCUUACGGGAAACCAAAGUGUUUGGGUUCCGGGGGGAGUAUGGUCGCAAGGCUGAAACUUAAAGGAAUUGACGGAAGGGCACCACCAGGCGUGGAGCCUGCGGCUUAAUUUGACUCAACACGGGGAAACUUACCAGGUCCAGACAUAGCAAGGAUAGACAGACUGAGAGCUCUUUCUUGAUUCUAUGGGUG
Molecule: ribosomal RNA, 651 nt
Filed under: uncultured Funneliformis
Lineage: Eukaryota; Fungi; Glomeromycota; Glomeromycetes; Glomerales; Glomeraceae
Description: SSU rRNA
Rfam family: Eukaryotic small subunit ribosomal RNA
Source: RNAcentral